CGCCUCUUGUAUCCCAUAAGAGGUCCAGCCUGCCCAGUGACUUUUGUUCAACGGCCGCGGUAUCCUAACCGUGCGAAGGUAGCGCAAUCACUUGUUUCUUAAAUAGGGACUAGUAUGAAAGGCAUCACGAGGGCCUAACUGUCUCCUUUUUCUAAUCAGUGAAACUAAUCUCCCCGUGAAGAAGCGGGGAUAUUUUUAUAAGACGAGAAGACCCUAUGGAGCUUUAAACUUUACAGCACCUGCCUACUACUAUUCCCCACUUUCAGAAAACUACCCCCCCCCGGCCCCCCCCCGUCUGUAAGCUUUCGGUUGGGGUGACCCCGGAAAAAAAAUUAUCCUCCGUAAUGAACAGAUUUAUCUUUAGCAAAAAGCUACAACUUUAACAUCAGUAAAA
Molecule: ribosomal RNA, 394 nt
Filed under: Oreobates ibischi
Lineage: Eukaryota; Metazoa; Chordata; Amphibia; Anura; Strabomantidae
Description: partial 16S ribosomal RNA
Rfam family: Bacterial large subunit ribosomal RNA
Source: RNAcentral